UACAGAGGUCUCAAGCGUUGUUCGGAUUCAUUGGGCGUAAAGGGUGCGUAGGUGGCGCUGUAAGUGGGGUGUGAAAUCCCGGGGCUUAACUCCGGAACUGCAUUCCAUACUGCGGUGCUUGAGGACUGGAGAGGAGACUGGAAUUUACGGUGUAGCAGUGAAAUGCGUAGAGAUCGUAAGGAAGACCAGUGGCGAAGGCGGGUCUCUGGACAGUUCCUGACACUGAGGCACGAAGGCCAGGGGAGCAAACGGG
RNAcentral lists this ribosomal RNA (253 nucleotides) under uncultured bacterium. Its description in RNAcentral is "partial 16S ribosomal RNA". It matches the Rfam family "Bacterial small subunit ribosomal RNA", at positions 524 to 776 of the family's 1533-position model. The record is from RNAcentral.